CCUACGGGUGGCAGCAGUGAGGAAUAUUGGUCAAUGGGAGAGAUCCUGAACCAGCCAAGCCGCGUGAGGGAAGACGGCCCUAUGGGUUGUAAACCUCUUUUGUCGGAGAACAAAACCCGGGACGAGUCCCGGACUGCGUGUAUCCGACGAAAAAGCAUCGGCUAACUCCGUGCCAGCAGCCGCGGUAAUACGGAGGCUGCGAGCGUUAUCCGGAUUUAUUGGGUUUAAAGGGUGCGUAGGCGGUCUGUUAAGUCAGCGGGAAAAUUGCGGGGCUCAACCCCGUCGAGCCGUUGAAACUGGCAGACUUGAGUUGGCGAGAAGUAAGCGGAAUGCGCGGUGUAGCGGUGAAAUGCAUAGAUAUCGCGCAGAACUCCGAUUGCGAAGGCAGCGUACCGGAGCCAGACUGACGCUGAGGCACGAAAGCGUGGGGAUCGAACAGGAUUAGAUACCCUUGUAGUC
RNAcentral lists this ribosomal RNA (459 nucleotides) under uncultured bacterium. RNAcentral's name for it is "partial 16S ribosomal RNA". It matches the Rfam family "Bacterial small subunit ribosomal RNA", at positions 338 to 795 of the family's 1533-position model. The record is from RNAcentral.